CCCCUAGAUGUUCUGGGCCGCACGCGCGCUACACUGAACAGUUCAACAAGUCUUAACCUUGGCCGAUAGGUCUGGGUAAUCUUUGAACGCUGUACGUGAUUGGGAUAGACCUUUGCAAUUAUGGGUCUUCAACGAGGAAUUCCUAGUAAACGCAAGUCAUCAGCUUGCAUUGAUUACGUCCCUGCCCUUUGUACACACCGCCCGUCGCACCUACCGAUUGAAUGGUCCGGUGAAAUCUCGGGACGGCGGCUUGGUCGCUUGCGUCCGACUGCUGAAACUUGAUUAAACCAUAUCAUUUAGAGGAAGGUGAAGUCGUANCA
RNAcentral lists this ribosomal RNA (320 nucleotides) under uncultured eukaryote. RNAcentral's name for it is "partial 18S ribosomal RNA". It matches the Rfam family "Eukaryotic small subunit ribosomal RNA", at positions 1470 to 1796 of the family's 1831-position model. The record is from RNAcentral.